This 429-nucleotide ribosomal RNA is filed under the name uncultured Chlamydiae bacterium. RNAcentral's name for it is "bacterial SSU rRNA". It matches the Rfam family "Bacterial small subunit ribosomal RNA", at positions 958 to 1385 of the family's 1533-position model. The record is from RNAcentral. Lineage: Bacteria; Pseudomonadati; Chlamydiota; Chlamydiia.
AACGCGAAGAACCUUACCUGGGUUUGACAUGGAGAGGACGACAUCAGAAAUGGUGUUUCCCCGCAAGGGGCCUUUUCACAGGUGCUGCAUGGCUGUCGUCAGCUCGUGCCGUGAGGUGUUGGGUUAAGUCCCGCAACGAGCGCAACCCUUGUCGUUAGUUGCCAGCGCGUAAUGGCGGGCACUCUAGCGAGACUGCCUCGGUUAACGAGGAGGAAGGUGAGGAUGACGUCAAGUCCGCAUGGCCCUUAUACCCAGGGCUACACACGUGCUACAAUGGCCGGUACAGAAGGCAGCGAAGUCGCGAGAUGGAGCAAAUCCAAAAAGCCGGCCCCAGUUCAGAUUGUAGUCUGCAACUCGACUACAUGAAGAUGGAAUUGCUAGUAAUGGCGAGUCAGCAACAUCGCCGUGAAUACGUUCCCGGGCCUUGUA